This 46-nucleotide transfer RNA is filed under the name Crenicichla gaucho. RNAcentral's name for it is "partial tRNA-Ala". The record is from RNAcentral. Lineage: Eukaryota; Metazoa; Chordata; Actinopteri; Cichliformes; Cichlidae.
UCUGUUUUGCAUACAGAAGAUGUGGGAUAGAGUCCCGCAGGUUUUA